Molecule: long non-coding RNA, 1668 nt
Organism: Harpia harpyja (harpy eagle)
Lineage: Eukaryota; Metazoa; Chordata; Aves; Accipitriformes; Accipitridae
Exons: 3
Source: RefSeq, a predicted model, not a curated record
CCUGCUCCGACCCCGGGCGCGCCGGCGGGGGGAGGGCCCGCCCUGCGGAGGCUGCGGGGCAGUGCGGCAGGGCUGGCGAGCGGCGAGCGCGGGUCUGGGCUGCGGGGCACGGGCCCGCCGCGGAGGGGAAGGGCGCUCUGCCGAGGCGCAGCUUUUCCCGAGGGGAAGGAAGGGCAGGCACUGGCUGUGAGGGAUGCAUCGUCCAGUGGUCCGCUGGAGCGCCUCCAGCUAACGCGCUGCCUGCCGUAGUCUGUUUUUACUGAAGGAGGGUGCGCGUGGAGGCAGAGCUCCGGACUGCCGUGAGGUGCUUCGUGCCAUCUCCUUUUCUCUAGUGAGCCGAAGUCUGUAAGCAAACUAAUAAAACCAAGCUCCCGUCUCUUGCAUCGGAGAAGCUGGAGACCUUGGUAAAUACUGCAGAUGGUUUAUAUAAACUGCUCUAAAUUAAAGAAACAGUCAGUCUCUGCUUAUCAUUCCAUGUAUCUUUUGGGGAUGGGUAGAAGACUCGCCACUAAAAGAAACACAGCAGCUGUAAGUGUAAAAAAAAAAAAAAUCUGUCUAAGGAAAUUAGCUGUUGGUAUGCAUCACUGGCUAGCAUAAGAUAGAACAGGAGAUAGAAAAGGAGGAGAUGUGGUAAGUGAAGUAAUUCAAGCCUUCAUGAGUAAACAAGGAAUUAAACAAAGGCUGCAUAUAUCUUGCCACGCACAGCACUCUGGAGUGGUAGAAGGAAUGAAGCAGACUAUCAAAAAUAAACUCGAGAAAAUUAUAGGCCAAUAUCCAAAGCAAUGGACUGAAAAAUUACCAGUGAUAUUAGCAGCUUUAAGAAAUAGCAACAGCUCAUGCACCAGUUUACAUUUGUGGCUUGUUUUGUUUGGACAGUCCAUGCCCCACACGUGAGACCCUAAGGAUCCUGAAAGUGAUCAGUGGGAAUGGGAAAAGCAUUACAAGAGAAUAAAGAAGAAAUUUAGGCUCUGGUGGAAGAAGCAGUAAAAGAAGCAAGAAAAAAAUAAUGGGGAAAAUUAGAAUCAAAUGCAUAUGGUGAUACUGAGGCCGAGUAAUGGUUUUGAGCCUGGGUAAAAAGAAACAUGCCUUAGAACCAAAAUGGAAGGGGGGCUAAUUUGUUACCAGUAUGAGUCCAGUAACACAUCAAUGAGAUGAGGGCAAUAGUACCUAUGAAUGGCUUCAUGUUUCUUAGUUCUCCACCUACAGGGGUGAGUAGGUAUGGACUCAGUUGUGGAUUGGCCAAGGAGGUGGACAGUUCCUGCAGCAUCAGUUUGAGAAGGUGGAUAUUUACCCUGACUUCCCGUUCAGCUCACAGCAAGCCCAAAAGAAAGCCCAUCUCUGAAAAUCAAAGGAGGGAGCUAUGGCUUCACCUGGUCACUUGUCUUGGCCCUAACAUCAGGUGUCACAAACAGGACCCAGCAGGGCUUGUUUGUCAGCUGCCAAAUAAAGAAGAUGGAGCACCCUGUCCACACAAAGUAAUCGUUAGCCAGUAAAGCUAAGACUGCAUUAGAUGUCUGGGAUGCUGCCUGGAUGUGUAGAGAUGAGAUCAGGAAAGCCAAGGCACAGUUGGAGUUGAAUUAGGCAAAGGUUUCAAAGAAUAGUAAGAAGGGCUUCUACAGGUGUGUUGGGCAAAAAAGGAAGAUGAAAGAAAAUGCAUACACCACACCU